RNAcentral lists this ribosomal RNA (467 nucleotides) under uncultured bacterium. Its description in RNAcentral is "partial 16S ribosomal RNA". It matches the Rfam family "Bacterial small subunit ribosomal RNA", at positions 28 to 507 of the family's 1533-position model. The record is from RNAcentral.
GACGAACGCUGGCGGCGUGCUUAACACAUGCAAGUCGAGCGGAAAGGCGCGAGGUUGCUGCCGUAGUCGAUUGGGGAACGGGGGAGUGACACGCGGGGAAUCUGCACUGCACUGUGGGAGAGGCCUGGGGAACUGGGGCUAAUACAGGAUAUGAUCUUUCUCCUUGUGGGGUUUGGUGGAAAGUUUUUCGGUGUAGGAUGCGCCCGCGGCGUAUCAGCUUGUUGGUGGGGUGAUGGCCUGCCAAGGCGACGACGGGUAGCCGGCCUGAGAGGGUGAUCGGCCACAUUGGGACUGAGAUACGGCCCAGACUCCUACGGGAGGCAGCAGUGGGGAAUAUUGCACAAUGGGCGGAAGCCUGAUGCAGCGACGCCGCGUGAGGGAUGACGGCCUUCGGGUUGUAAACCUCUUUCAGCAGGGACGAAGCGUAAGUGACGGUACCUGCAGAAGAAGCACCGGCUAACUAUGUG